This 2155-nucleotide long non-coding RNA is filed under the name Citrus sinensis (sweet orange). RNAcentral describes it as "long non-coding RNA (CSIN_LNC001802)". The record is from RNAcentral. Lineage: Eukaryota; Viridiplantae; Streptophyta; Magnoliopsida; Sapindales; Rutaceae.
AUAAAGCUAAUAACCUAUUUAAAUUAUGGGGCCAAUGGCUCGACGAUUGCUUUAAUAAUUGAAAUCUACAAAAAAACCAACAAUUUGGCCCAUUUUUGUACCUAAUCCCUACUCCCACAUUGGGAUAGGGUGUACUUUUGCCCCCAUUAUUUUUUCUCUGUUUUGUUCAUCCCAUUCUUCCGACGAUUGCUUUAAUGAAGCUCCCACAUCUGAGGCUUGUCUCAUGUGUGGGCGUAAAAAGUGGUCUGUGUGUGUGUGUGUGUGUGUGUGGGUGGGUCGAGUAACACCGGUCAACCCAAAUUGUCCAUCUCAUAUGUUCAUGUCAUUCUCUUGCUGGUGGGGAGUGAGAUGACGAGAUAUCAACCGCUUCACACACAUGGAAUCAGGCUACUGGAGCUGUUGGAUUUGCAUGUCUACUUCACGAUCAUGGCAACACGCGUCAUUUGAUAGCUACGAGUCUCAUAAGCCCCUCUUUUAAUCAACUUUCACUUCCUGUCGGCGCAUUUUCAUGAGUUAGUACUGCUUAUAUUGACGAUAAUUAAACAAUUAAAAUAAAACGAAGCUGAUUGAUCCAUUUGAAUCUUCGAUGUUCACUCAUUCAUUCACAAGCAAAGUGAGCUCAAGGCAUAGGUUUGCUUACUAAACCUUUGACACCAUCACACCGAAAUGAAUUUAAGGUGAGACACGCUUUCAUUAAAGUCUUUUUAAAAAAACUUUACAAGAUAUUUAAUUAUUUUUAAAUUAAAUGAUUCACAAAGCAAAGAAAUUAGAGUGGUGAUAUUCGAACCCUCUUUAUUUAUCCCAACAACUCUUACUUUCCACGAUACUCAACUUCAUCGCAACAAAAUCCAUUAAUAAUAUUGAAAAACAUUCAUUUUUAAUUAUUUUAAAUGUUUUUCUUUGUUUUGCACAUAGAACAAAUGGUUUAAUGAAUAAAAAAAAUUAACAAAUCCUCAAAUCAACCAUGCCCGAGAACAAACAAAGAGAACUCAGCCAAAUCGCAAUUGAGAUUAUUUUUUCUCAAUCAAUAACAAGUCACCACUCAUUUAGCAAAGCGUGUACCAUCAGCCAUUGUCUAAUUGUUUCCAACCAUCGAAGAAGCGUAACGACACCUCAUGAUUCAUUUUUUAAUUGCAUUCAAAACAAAAGCAAAGUUUGGUUCAUCAACCACUUUUAACCUAUGGCUAUGCUUUAUGGUGCAGACGUGGAAAGCUUUCAUUGCAUUGAUUCACAAUCAGAAAACAAAACAGAGAUUUUAGUGGCGUGCAAGGCAGAUUUGGAAUUCGGCACUGAGUUCUUGUUUUGGGUUCCAUUCAAAUCAGUGUUCUCAUAAAUGUUGUUCAAUAUAUCUAUGAUGGAUUUGGUGGUUGUGAAAAUGGGUAUAUUAGUAAUUGUUGAAAGAGAGAGCGAAAUUGUGUAGAUGAGAGAAAAAAGAGAAAGUUCGAAAAAUAAAUGCUUUUUUAAUUUCUAAUGAGGGCAAAUUUAGGAAUAAGAGAAAUAAAUUAGAAAGUGGGGGUUGUUGAGACAAAAUUAGAGGGGAAGAGUGGAGGAGGGGUGGUGCAAAUAGCACCAUUCAGAAACUUAAUCAAUAUGAUUAAAUGGUUUAGAUUAAACUUGAUCGAUGUGAUUGAAAUUGAUCUGUUCUCCUAGUUGGUUUUUGAACGAUUAGGUUUAACCUUGGCCUUAAGAACCAAAUGUGGCUAGGUUGUGCAAAAUGCAUGACUUCAUGGAGGUUGGCCCAAGACAAGCCUAAAAGUGGGGUACAUGGUGAAGGGCUUAGGUCUGACCUAGAACUUCAACAUAUUGUAUCUUGGUUUUAGGCUUUGCUCUCCACUAGCGCAGGCUACGUAGUUCUCUUUGUGCUUAGUAGGGGUGAGCAUAUUUUAACCGAACCGAUCCAAACCGAUCCAAACCGACCUUUUGGAUCGGUUUGGAUCGGUUUCAUUAAUAAAAAUACUGGUUUCGGUUUAUUGGAUUGCAAACCGACAUCACUCAGUUUGGAUUUCGGUUUGGAAGGAUUCCAAACCGAUUCAAACCGAUCCAAUCUAGAAAUAUUAUAUAAUUACAUUAUAUUUUAAGUUAAGCAAUCUAACUAAUUAUAUUUAUUAUUUUAUGCAGAUUUUGGCAAAUGAAAAGUAAUUGGGCUAUAAAUUUU